UCCUAACCCAUGUCCUACCGGAAGCCUCGGCAGGUCUUCCACUUACCCUGAGGGGACCUACCCUGUAGGGACCUUACCCGGUAGUUGCCGGCAUAACCCGCCGGUGGUCUACUAAACUCUGUUUACUAUGUUAUUCUGAAUAAUAUAACUAAAUAAGUUAAAACUUUCAACAACGGAUCUCUUGGUUCUGGCAUCGAUGAAGAACGCAGCGAAAUGCGAUAAGUAAUGUGAAUUGCAGAAUUCAGUGAAUCAUCGAAUCUUUGAACGCACAUUGCGCCCAUUAGUAUUCUAGUGGGCAUGCCUGUUCGAGCGUCAUUUCAACCCUUAAGCCCUGUUGCUUAGCGUUGGGAGCCUACAGAUACCCUCUGUAGUUCCUUAAAGUUAGUGGCGGAGUCGGUUUCACACUCUAGACGUAGUAAAUUUUAUCUCGCCUAUAGAUGAGCCGGUCCCUUGCCGUAAAACCCCCUAAUUUCUAAAGGUUGACCUCGGAUCAGGUAGGAAUACCCGCUGAACUUAAGCAUAUCA
RNAcentral lists this ribosomal RNA (525 nucleotides) under Xylaria sp. Fun22W3. RNAcentral describes it as "eukaryotic LSU rRNA". The stretch from base 162 to 315 matches the Rfam family "5.8S ribosomal RNA". The record is from RNAcentral. Lineage: Eukaryota; Fungi; Ascomycota; Sordariomycetes; Xylariales; Xylariaceae.